This 921-nucleotide small RNA is filed under the name Mycoplasma elephantis. RNAcentral's name for it is "bacterial LSU rRNA". The stretch from base 422 to 921 matches the Rfam family "Bacterial large subunit ribosomal RNA", at positions 1 to 497 of the family's 2925-position model. Lineage: Bacteria; Bacillati; Mycoplasmatota; Mollicutes; Mycoplasmatales; Mycoplasmataceae. The record is from RNAcentral.
CGCCCGUCACACCAUGGGAGCUGGAAAUGCCCGAAGCCGGUUAGUUAACUUCGGAGGCAACUGUCUAAGGCAGGUCCGGUGACUGGGGUGAAGUCGUAACAAGGUAUCCCUACGAGAACGUGGGGAUGGAUCACCUCCUUUCUACGGAGAGUACACAUUUUUAUUUUUGGCAUUAACCAAAUCUUAAACUUAUUGUUUAAGUCUGUUAUGUGCGAUUAGCCAAGAUCGUUUUAUAUCUAGUUUUGAGAGUUCUACUCUCAAUUAGUUCUUUGAAAACUGAAUAUAUCAAUAUGAAAAGACAUCAAAUCUAAAAUUAAGUUUUUAUAAGUUUUUAUAAAAAAUAAUUUUAUCGAGUUUUAAUAAAUAAAAAGAUUCAUUUAAAUGUCUUAAAAUACUUGAACAAUAGGAACAUACUAUUUAAUAUUAAAUAAGUAAGAGUUUGUGGUGGAUGCCUUGGGUCUGAAAGUCGAUGAAGGACGUGAUAACCUGCGAUAAGCCUCGUGGAGCUGGAAAUACGCUUUGAAACGGGGAUUUCCGAAUGGGGAAACCUAACUAGAUUAAUCUCUAGUUGUUAAUUAGUGAAUACAUAGCUAAUUAUACGAGACACCUUGUGAACUGAAACAUCUUAGUAGCAAGAGGAAAAGAAAAUAAAUAAUGAUUCCAUCAGUAGCGGCGAGCGAAAGUGGAAGAGCCCAAACCAUUUAAAUUAAUGGGGUUGUAGGACAAUCUACAUAGAGUUACAAAUCUUACAGAUAGCAGAAUAAAUUGGAAAGUUUAAGCAUAGAGGGUGAUACUCCCGUAUGCGAAAUCUGUAAGACUCUUGGUUGUAUCCUGAGUAGGGCGGGGCACGUGAAACCCUGUCUGAAUUUGCCGGGACCACCCGGUAAGGCUAAAUACUAAUCAGACACCGAUAGCGAAAUA